Molecule: ribosomal RNA, 603 nt
Filed under: uncultured fungus
Lineage: Eukaryota; Fungi
Description: eukaryotic LSU rRNA
Rfam family: Eukaryotic large subunit ribosomal RNA
Source: RNAcentral
AUAUCAAUAAGCGGAGGAAAAGAAACUAACAAGGAUUCCCCUAGUAACGGCGAGUGAAGCGGGAAGAGCUCAAAUUUAAAAUCUGGCAAUCUUUGGUUGUCCGAAUUGUAAUCUAGAGAAGCGUUUUCCGUGCUGGACUGUGUACAAGUUUCCUGGAUACGGAACAUCAUAGAGGGUGAGAAUCCCGUCCUUGACACAGACUCCCAGUACUUUUGUGAUGCGCUCUCGACGAGUCGAGUUGUUUGGGAUUGCAGCUCAAAAUGGGAGGUAAAUUCCUUCUAAAGCUAAAUAUUGGCGAGAGACCGAUAGCGAACAAGUACCGUGAGGGAAAGAUGAAAAGCACUUUGGAAAGAGAGUUAAACAGUACGUGAAAUUGUUAAAAGGGAAACGCUUGAAGUCAGUCGCGUUUGCUUGGACUCAGCCUUACUUUGGUUUGGUGCAUUUCCUCGCAGACGGGCCAGCGUCCAUGUUGUUUGCCGGAAAAGGGGUGAAAGAAUGUGGCUCCUUUAGGAGUGUUAUAGCUUUUACUCGUAUGCGGGGAGCGAUAUGGAGUGGUACAGCACACUUCGGUGGUGCUUGUGCUGGCAUAAUGGCUUUAAACGA